UCCCCGGUAGCUCAGUUGGCAGAGCAGGUGGCUGUUAACCACCCUGUCGGCAGUUCAAGUCUGUCCCGGGGAG
RNAcentral lists this transfer RNA (73 nucleotides) under Desulfomicrobium orale. Its description in RNAcentral is "tRNA-Asn(gtt)". It matches the Rfam family "tRNA". Rfam says of the family: Transfer RNA (tRNA) molecules are approximately 80 nucleotides in length. Their secondary structure includes four short double-helical elements and three loops (D, anti-codon, and T loops). Lineage: Bacteria; Pseudomonadati; Thermodesulfobacteriota; Desulfovibrionia; Desulfovibrionales; Desulfomicrobiaceae. RNAcentral also lists the same sequence under 1 other name. The record is from RNAcentral.